UGGGGAAUUUUGCACAAUGGGCGCAAGCCUGAUGCAGCGACGCCGCGUGAGGGAUGAAGGCCUUCGGGUUGUAAACCUUUUUCGCCCAUGGUCAAGCCGCAGCUUUGGGUUGUGGUGAGGGUAGUGGGUAAAGAAGCGCCGGCUAACUACGUGCCAGCAGCCGCGGUAAUACGUAGGGCGCGAGCGUUGUCCGGAAUUAUUGGGCGUAAAGGGCUUGUAGGCGGUUGGUCGCGUCUGCCGUGAAAUCCUCUGGCUUAACUGGGGGCGUGCGGUGGGUACGGGUUGACUUGAGUGCGGUAGGGGAGACUGGAAUUCCUGGUGUAGCGGUGGAAUGCGCAGAUAUCAGGAGGAACACCGGUGGCGAAGGCAGGUCGCUGGGUAGUAACUGACGCUGAGGAGCGAAAGCAUGGGUAGCGAACAGG
Molecule: ribosomal RNA, 422 nt
Filed under: Verrucomicrobiota bacterium
Lineage: Bacteria; Pseudomonadati; Verrucomicrobiota
Description: Verrucomicrobia bacterium partial 16S ribosomal RNA
Rfam family: Bacterial small subunit ribosomal RNA
Source: RNAcentral